UGUGAACUCUGCGGCGGCGGUCUGGGUAAUCCGGCGUAGGCAAGCGUGAAACUUAAUUAUUGGUCGGAAAGCGUUGGCAGGCUGCUUAUUAAGUCAGAUGUGAAAUCCCUAGGCUCAACCUAGGAACUGCAUUUGAAACUAAUAAACUAGAGUACCGUAGAGGGAGGUAGAAUUCCAGGUGUAGCGGUGAAAUGCGUAGAUAUCUGGAGGAAUACCAGUGGCGAAGGCGACCUCCUGGACGAAAACUGACGCUCAAGCACGAAAGCAUGGGGAGCAAACAGGAUUAGAUACCCUGGUAGUC
Molecule: ribosomal RNA, 301 nt
Filed under: uncultured archaeon
Lineage: Archaea
Description: bacterial SSU rRNA
Rfam family: Bacterial small subunit ribosomal RNA
Source: RNAcentral